CCUGAACUAUCACUCAAGUAAGACGAAACGUUGUUCCAUAAUUUAGUACAUGUACCGUCGAAACCCCCCACUUCAAAUAACAUUCUCACCCUCGUCUCCCAUUCUCCACUAAUUUAACCUAAUAUAAUCGCCAUUUCAUUUGUUCUUAAUCCCUUACACGGAUUACAUUUAAAUUCCUAUCCCUACUCUCUUGUAUUCCAUACCGUUCGCCUUCAGCGCUCCUCCCCUCCCCGUUCACCAGCCCUACCCCUCUUUCGCCGGCGGCAGCCACGUCUUGCUGAUCCCAGUGAUAUGUGUCGCCAUCUGCACAUCUGCUGAUCCCAGUCAUUUAUGCCCUUGUACCGCCCCACUCUUUCCUCAAGCGACCUCACGACUGCUUCACACCCAAGCUUGUGCCGGUGAGCAGAGAGAAUUGCGAUGCUACUCCCUUGCCUAUGUGUCUUGGGAGGUGUUCUCCUGGUCCUCCCCACAAAUGCCACGAAGCAGCCCUCCUAUGAACAACACCUACGUGUGGGGGCAAUCGUGGAGCCAGACGGCCCCGUGAUGGUGGUGGAGGACGUGGUCGAUGUCCGCAUUACCCUAUGCGAUUUUCGUGAGCUGGAGCGACUCCAUAUACCCCAGUUCCGGCGCCAGAUCCAGCAAGCGGAAGCGGUUCUCCAGCAGACCUCGGACACAGUUCAUAAACUAAACCAUCCACUCACGCUGACAUAUUUCUCUACUCUCAUGCUAUCUUUCCUAAAUAUCCAACAAUCCUUUGAUAGUCUGCUAGAAUGGACCCCUUUUUCAACUUACCUUAAAACGCCAGUAGCCCACGCCAGGUCCAAGCGUGGUCUCAUCGACAUUGGUGGGAGAUUGUUAAAAGGCCUCAUUGGUACAGCUACGGAAGCCGAUGUUGCUGAAGUUCACGAUCAGUUAGACAAAUGGGGUACUAUUUUGAAUAACCAGGCCAUUGUUCUCAGUUCCCAAAACAAAGCUAUUGAGACGGUUGUUAAGACUCAAAAAGUUAUCAUAGACCGCCUCAACAACUUCACAUCCCUCAUAACCCAGCUUCAGCAGGUCCAACACCAGUACUUAUUGGCUCACCAGUUGGCUUUAAUGGCAGCAAACCUCAGAGCUGUCUACCUUGCAAUCACAAAUUUUAAAUUAGCACUGCAGGACACAUUUACACUGCUCAGAGACGUGUU
Molecule: long non-coding RNA, 1184 nt
Organism: Eriocheir sinensis (Chinese mitten crab)
Lineage: Eukaryota; Metazoa; Arthropoda; Malacostraca; Decapoda; Varunidae
Exons: 3
Source: RefSeq, a predicted model, not a curated record